GGUUAAGCGACUAAGCGUACACGGUGGAUGCCCUGGCAGUCAGAGGCGAUGAAGGACGUGCUAAUCUGCGAAAAGCGCCGGCGAGGUGAUAUGAACCUUUGACCCGGCGAUGUCCGAAUGGGGAAACCCAGUGCAAUCCGUUGCACUAUCGUUAACUGAAUACAUAGGUUAACGAGGCGAACCGGGGGAACUGAAACAUCUAAGUACCCCGAGGAAAAGAAAUCAACCGAGAUUCCCCCAGUAGCGGCGAGCGAACGGGGAGCAGCCCGGAGUCUGAAUCAGCUUGUGUGUUAGUGGAACGGUCUGGAAAGUCCGACGGUACAGGGUGAUAGUCCCGUACACGAAAGCACACAUGCUGUGAACUCGAAGAGUAGGGCGGGACACGUGGUAUCCUGUCUGAAUAUGGGGGGACCAUCCUCCAAGGCUAAAUACUCCUGACUGACCGAUAGUGAACCAGUACCGUGAGGGAAAGGCGAAAAGAACCCCGGCGAGGGGAGUGAAAAAGAACCUGAAACCGUGUACGUACAAGCAGUGGGAGCCUCUUUAUGGGGUGACUGCGUACCUUUUGUAUAAUGGGUCAGCGACUUAUAUUCUGUAGCAAGGUUAACCGUAUAGGGGAGCCGAAGGGAAACCGAGUCUUAACUGGGCGUUAAGUUGCAGGGUAUAGACCCGAAACCCGGUGAUCUAGCCAUGGGCAGGUUGAAGGUUGGGUAACACUAACUGGAGGACCGAACCGACUAAUGUUGAAAAAUUAGCGGAUGACCUGUGGCUGGGGGUGAAAGGCCAAUCAAACCGGGAGAUAGCUGGUUCUCCCCGAAAGCUAUUUAGGUAGCGCCUCGUGAACUCAUCUUCGGGGGUAGAGCACUGUUUCGGCUAGGGGGCCAUCCCGGCUUACCAACCCGAUGCAAACUACGAAUACCGAAGAAUGUUAUCACGGGAGACACACGGCGGGUGCUAACGUCCGUCGUGAAGAGGGAAACAACCCAGACCGCCAGCUAAGGUCCCAAAGUCAUGGUUAAGUGGGAAACGAUGUGGGAAGGCACAGACAGCCAGGAUGUUGGCUUAGAAGCAGCCAUCAUUUAAAGAAAGCGUAAUAGCUCACUGGUCGAGUCGGCCUGCGCGGAAGAUGUAACGGGGCUAAACCAUGCACCGAAGCUGCGGCAGCGACACUAUGUGUUGUUGGGUAGGGGAGCGUUCUGUAAGCCGUUGAAGGUGUGCUGUGAGGCAUGCUGGAGGUAUCAGAAGUGCGAAUGCUGACAUAAGUAACGAUAAAGCGGGUGAAAAGCCCGCUCGCCGGAAGACCAAGGGUUCCUGUCCAACGUUAAUCGGGGCAGGGUGAGUCGACCCCUAAGGCGAGGCCGAAAGGCGUAGUCGAUGGGAAACAGGUUAAUAUUCCUGUACUUGGUGUUACUGCGAAGGGGGGACGGAGAAGGCUAUGUCAGCCGGGCGACGGUUGUCCCGGUUUAAGCAUGUAGGCGGAGGUUCCAGGUAAAUCCGGUACCUUAUUAACGCUGAGGUGUGAUGACGAGGCACUACGGUGCUGAAGUGAUAAAUGCCCUGCUUCCAGGAAAAGCCUCUAAGCAUCAGGUAACACGAAAUCGUACCCCAAACCGACACAGGUGGUCAGGUAGAGAAUACCAAGGCGCUUGAGAGAACUCGGGUGAAGGAACUAGGCAAAAUGGUGCCGUAACUUCGGGAGAAGGCACGCUGAUAUGUAGGUGAAGCCCCUGCGGGCGGAGCUGAAAUCAGUCGAAGAUACCAGCUGGCUGCAACUGUUUAUUAAAAACACAGCACUGUGCAAACACGAAAGUGGACGUAUACGGUGUGACGCCUGCCCGGUGCCGGAAGGUUAAUUGAUGGGGUUAGCGGCAACGCGAAGCUCUUGAUCGAAGCCCCGGUAAACGGCGGCCGUAACUAUAACGGUCCUAAGGUAGCGAAAUUCCUUGUCGGGUAAGUUCCGACCUGCACGAAUGGCGUAAUGAUGGCCAGGCUGUCUCCACCCGAGACUCAGUGAAAUUGAACUCGCUGUGAAGAUGCAGUGUACCCGCGGCAAGACGGAAAGACCCCGUGAACCUUUACUAUAGCUUGACACUGAACACUGGUCCUUGAUGUGUAGGAUAGGUGGGAGGCUUUGAAGCGUGGACGCCAGUCUGCGUGGAGCCAACCUUGAAAUACCACCCUUUAAUGGCUGGUGUUCUAACGUAGACCCGUAAUCCGGGUUGCGGACAGUGUCUGGUGGGUAGUUUGACUGGGGCGGUCUCCUCCCAAAGAGUAACGGAGGAGCACGAAGGUUGGCUAAUCCUGGUCGGACAUCAGGAGGUUAGUGCAAUGGCAUAAGCCAGCUUGACUGCGAGCGUGACGGCGCGAGCAGGUGCGAAAGCAGGUCAUAGUGAUCCGGUGGUUCUGAAUGGAAGGGCCAUCGCUCAACGGAUAAAAGGUACUCCGGGGAUAACAGGCUGAUACCGCCCAAGAGUUCAUAUCGACGGCGGUGUUUGGCACCUCGAUGUCGGCUCAUCACAUCCUGGGGCUGAAGUAGGUCCCAAGGGUAUGGCUGUUCGCCAUUUAAAGUGGUACGCGAGCUGGGUUUAGAACGUCGUGAGACAGUUCGGUCCCUAUCUGCCGUGGGCGCUGGAGAAUUGAGGGGGGCUGCUCCUAGUACGAGAGGACCGGAGUGGACGCAUCACUGGUGUUCGGGUUGUCAUGCCAAUGGCACUGCCCGGUAGCUAAAUGCGGAAGAGAUAAGUGCUGAAAGCAUCUAAGCACGAAACUUGCCCCGAGAUGAGUUCUCCCUGAGACUUUAAGUCUCCUGAAGGAACGUUGAAGACGACGACGUUGAUAGGUCGGGUGUGUAAGCGCAGCGAUGCGUUGAGCUAACCGAUACUAAUGAACCGUGAGGCUUAACCUU
This 2905-nucleotide ribosomal RNA is filed under the name Enterobacter hormaechei. RNAcentral describes it as "23S ribosomal RNA". It matches the Rfam family "Bacterial large subunit ribosomal RNA". RNAcentral also lists the same sequence under 2 other names. The record is from RNAcentral. Lineage: Bacteria; Pseudomonadati; Pseudomonadota; Gammaproteobacteria; Enterobacterales; Enterobacteriaceae.